Molecule: long non-coding RNA, 620 nt
Organism: Dendroctonus ponderosae (mountain pine beetle)
Lineage: Eukaryota; Metazoa; Arthropoda; Insecta; Coleoptera; Curculionidae
Exons: 2
Source: RefSeq, a predicted model, not a curated record
ACUAGAACGAGUUUUUUUGGUAGAUUUGCCGUCUACGAGGGAUCGAUGGAAACGUUCUCCAAUGUGGCCACGCAGCUUUCGGUGAAUUUAGCAUUACUUUGCCCCUGGUGGACAUGUAGAACUUUUAGUCCCAUAUUCAUCAACCGACUCGUACGGUGGAUUUGGGUCUUUGCUCUUUCGCAGUUAAUUUUUAAACUUUGGAAAUAUUGUGGGCGGCUUUGUGUUUUUACAUCAAGCUCAUUCUGAAGCUUUUCACUCUGAAAAACCGCUUCAAAUAUGGAAAUUUGGGUUUCAGUACUCAAUGCAAGAAGCAUCCGCUUACUGGUAGUGUGGAUUGGUUCCGAUUAAACAUAUGAUUUUUUCACAAGAAGUUUUCAAACUCUGAAAAUCUUUUGGGCGUUUUUGUAUUUUUACAUCAAGCUCAUCUAAAAGUUGUCUCUAAAGAACCGUUUCAAAUAUGCAAAUAUGGGCUCGAGUUUUAUGCUUUUUUGUCAAUAAGUCACUAUACUAUUGAACAGUAUUUUGGAAAUAAAAAUUGCAUAAUCAUCAGAACGGGAAGGAAAAAACUCAGUUUGGAAAUCAUAAUUUCAAAGUCUUAUCGUGGGCCUCAAGCAGUCCGG